GUGACAAUGUAAUCCAUUAGCUCUUGUAUAUGCUGUUAAAUUUGAAGCUUAAGUUCCUCUUCAAAAACAUUUCUUAAAGUGUAAGGACAAUUAUAAGUAAUCAAUGAAAAGCAUACUUAACAGACGUUAGAGACUGCUUAUUUAAUAUGAUGGUCUCUUAUCUUCAUUUUGGAAUAUAAUUCCAUAUUCCAUCUGUUCCUUUUGUAGUCAUAUGUUCUUUUUCUAAGAAUACAGGUGUUCUAAACCAUAAUUGCAGAUUGAAAAUGCCUAAUAUCUU
This 277-nucleotide unclassified non-coding RNA is filed under the name Hevea brasiliensis (rubber tree). The record is from RNAcentral. Lineage: Eukaryota; Viridiplantae; Streptophyta; Magnoliopsida; Malpighiales; Euphorbiaceae.